Molecule: long non-coding RNA, 211 nt
Filed under: Elaeis guineensis (African oil palm)
Lineage: Eukaryota; Viridiplantae; Streptophyta; Magnoliopsida; Arecales; Arecaceae
Description: long non-coding RNA (EGUI_LNC032942)
Source: RNAcentral
GAAUAUUUGUCAGGUAGUAGAGUUGGCGCCCCACAAAAAGGUUCUCUAGCCAAAAGAGAUGGGAUGUGGACCCCACUCUCUCUCCUCCAUGUCAUGACACAUAAGAGGAGGUGGGCCCCUUAAGGAUUUGAUGCCCAAAAAUUUUCAAAAAGAAAAGAAUGCUCCAUCCAAUCUUUCAUCUAUUCCACAUACACACAUAGAGAUAAUCAGA